Molecule: transfer RNA, 78 nt
Filed under: Thermochaetoides thermophila DSM 1495
Lineage: Eukaryota; Fungi; Ascomycota; Sordariomycetes; Sordariales; Chaetomiaceae
Description: Chaetomium thermophilum var. thermophilum DSM 1495 tRNA-Tyr
Rfam family: tRNA
About the family: Transfer RNA (tRNA) molecules are approximately 80 nucleotides in length. Their secondary structure includes four short double-helical elements and three loops (D, anti-codon, and T loops).
Source: RNAcentral
CCCCUUGUGGUGUAGUUGGCUAUCACGUUCGGCUGUAAUGAUACCGAAAGGUCACCGGCUCGAUUCCGGUCGAGGGGA